GCAGUUGUGGAGAUGACCUGUGUAAGGCCAGCUACAAUAGCUCCUGGAGUAAUAUCAUCCACUCCUGGACUGACGAGACCUAUUACAGUGGAAACUACACCAACCACCCCUACAAGUCAUGAUGCACCUCCGGAGACUGUCCUGGUGCCUGCGAUAGCAGACUGUGCACCAGCCCCUGCCUCUAUGCUAAUAAGUACACCAACUGUGCUGACACGGCCAAGCAGCCGGGGCUGCAGCAACAGUCAUGUCACCUCCUAGUGUCCUGUCUCCUGCAGGACUCAUCAGACGGUCUGAUCAGCCAGAGACAUGUUCUGACCAAUCAUCCUGAUAGACAACAACAAUCAUCCUGAUAGACAACAACAAUCAUCCUGAUAGACAACAACAAUCAUCCUGAUAGACAACAACAAUCUCCUAAUAAACCUGGUCAUGACUAAGGUGUCCUCCAUCUUGCAAUAAAUAAUCAUCCUUUGGUUAAGUUGUAAAAUGCAA
This is a long non-coding RNA of Oncorhynchus nerka (sockeye salmon), 489 nucleotides long. RefSeq lists it as uncharacterized. The transcript has 3 exons. The record is from RefSeq and is a predicted model, not a curated record. NCBI's taxonomy places the organism in Eukaryota, Metazoa, Chordata, Actinopteri, Salmoniformes, Salmonidae.